CCCACCCUCAUCCACCAUCCCUAUCCCCAGAUCCUUCCUCCUUUCUCCUCUCUCCGCCACUAACAACCCCACCAUCAUCCAUAGCCACCCAAACUCACCACCAGUCAUACCCACCCACACCCCCCCUAUCCACCAUCCAAAUCUAAAGCCAUCACGGCAUCUGCGUUGGAAGGGGCUGAUCGACUUGAGAGAGGAGAUCGGAGGAGUGUUGGGGCAGAAGGGAGAGAAGGGCAGAGAGAGCCAUCUCGGUGUCUUGGGAGGCAUUCUCCGCAUCAAUCCCAUUACUGCUUCCAUUUUUGUUCCUUGGUGUUCUUUGUUUUCGUUUCUCAGGACUAACCAGUGACGGCGAAGACUGAAUAAAACCGAAAGAGACUGAAAGAUGGCCGGCCUUCCUACGUCGUCGUUUAAGGCAAAUACCGGUAGUGCCGCCGCAGAAGACCCCAAACUCGGUCACACGAAGCAGAUACGGCGCCACGAGGUUGCAAUUGCAGAGCUCAAUGCUCUUUCACCGUCUCGGGCUGUCUAUCAGAAAAAUGGGAACUUGUUUUUCCGUACAACAAUCCAGAAAGCAACAGCAUCUGAACAAAAACAAAUUGAUUUGGCUAAAGCAAGCCUAGGAAAGCUGAAUUCUUCUUGAUAUGACUUGGCUUACGAUGAUGGUAGUCCUACAGCCUUUUAAGGAUCUCAGUGAGUGAACCGCUUAUUGUUGCAGAUUCCUGUUGGUUGGGAGGCCGUGGGGAUUCUUGUCUCACCCAUUUUCUUAUUUCUAAAAUGGGCUUCUACCGUGGACAUAAUUUUGUGAACAAUAAAUGUAGAGACUUUUAGGCAGAAGCAUUAUGUUUCAGAAUUUUGUACAAAUACCUUUUGAAGUAUAAGGGUUAUGAGGUUAUUAAUGUACGUCUCUCCCUCUUGCCCUCCUUGGUUGUCUCCCCAAGCGUUCCGUA
This is an RNA transcript of Prunus dulcis (almond), 944 nucleotides long. RefSeq lists it as uncharacterized. The record is from RefSeq and is a predicted model, not a curated record. Lineage: Eukaryota; Viridiplantae; Streptophyta; Magnoliopsida; Rosales; Rosaceae. The transcript has 5 exons.